Molecule: long non-coding RNA, 1016 nt
Filed under: Struthio camelus australis
Lineage: Eukaryota; Metazoa; Chordata; Aves; Struthioniformes; Struthionidae
Description: lncRNA (ENSSCUG00000003147.1)
Source: RNAcentral
AAACAACAUCUUUGGAAGCAAAAAAUGCAGGAAGAGUUGCUUGUCCUUGGUCUUCAAAUAAAUACAGCAAAAAUCAAAGCAAACAACUGUGGAGCUAAAUUCUGUGAUGCCAGCUUCAGAAAAAUCCCUUAGUGCCCUAGAAACACUGGACAAAAUUCACAGUGCAGAACUCAGGAUACGGAAGAUGCUUUGGAUUCUGGCCUAAAGCCACUCUUAGCCAUAGGGAAAUUUAAAGCCAGGGAAGUAAAGGAGGAGUUCAUCAGGACCACGGAUUCUGAAAUUGAGGACAGCCGCAACUCAGCUGCUGCACAAAGAGUUGAUUCAGCAUUAAUACAGCUGCGUGAACAAAACCGUCUGGGAGAUGAGAGGAGCAACUGGCUGGAUGAAAGCGUGCAUGAAUGUAGUGGCUCAGCCACUGACCGACAAUACAUUUCUCUGGUAAGAGCAGGGCUAGCAGGCUCCUCCCCCUUUCUUUGCUAGUAACGUUAGUAUUUCUGGUAACAUUAAUGGGCAAACUGUGGGUUGUGGGGGUUGGUUUUGGUUUUGUUUUGGUUGUUGUUCCUUCCCUUGCCCCUCCCCCCCCCCAGCAAAGUAAUGGCCUGACUUCUGGUGUGUCUCUUUAAUGUAAGAGACUGUGACUUCUGAGGAAGAGGUAUGUUGUCAUGAGGUGACUCGGAUUUGGUAAUUCCAUCUUUUCUGCAGAAAGGUUUACCCAGAAGUGUUACAAACGCUCCUGCCUGGAACACCAGGCCGAGAUGCCUGACCGGAGCAGGAGCCUGCAGAGGCUCCUGGUGUAACUGGCCACUGGGACCAUCGCUGCUUGCUCAGCAGUUGGAAUGAUUUCUGUAACCCUUCUAUUCUGCAGGACAUCGCUUAUUCCCGUGAUAAGGUAUGACAUAUUCGUCUCUCAGUACUCCAUAAUAGUAUCACUUACGUUUCUAUAUUGCAUUUGUUGAAUAUUUUCAGACCUGUAAGUGACUAAAAUUGACAUUUUUUUUUUAAGCUAUCAAAAAAUC